Molecule: non-coding RNA, 647 nt
Organism: Nannospalax galili (Upper Galilee mountains blind mole rat)
Lineage: Eukaryota; Metazoa; Chordata; Mammalia; Rodentia; Spalacidae
Source: the annotation of a RefSeq genome assembly
UAAAUAAAUCAUGAAUGAAGACACAUUUCUGACUUUGGGAAUUAAUCCAAGGACACCUUUAACCCCUGCCGCUCGUCAGUCACUGUCCACUAGGGUGCGCAGCUGCCUAACUCAGUUUCUAGCUGGCUUUCUUCCUGGGUGAAUUUAGGCUGACUCUUCAUUUCUCUAUGACUUCAACAUUUCUUCUUCUGAGGAAUCAACAUCACUCGGGCGGCAUUCUAAAGAUGAACUCUCAGGGCUUAGUGACUGUCAUGCUCUUAGUUCUUGGAAGGAUCCAUGGAGACUCUGUGACUCAGACGGAAGGUAAAGUGACCCUCUCAGAAGAAGACUUCCUGACUAUAAACUGCACUUACUCAGCCUCGGGGUACCCUACUCUGUUCUGGUACGUCCAGUAUCCCGGAGAAGGUCCACAGCUCCUCUUCAGAGCCUCAAAGGCCAAUGAGAAGGGAACCAAGAAAGGGUUUGAAGCCACAUAUGUCAAAGACGCCUCCUCCUUCCACCUGCACAAAGCCUCAGUCCAAGAGUCAGACUCGGCUGUGUACUACUGUGCUCUGAGUGACACAGUGGCAGAAACCUCAGGAAGACCUGAGCACAAACUCAGCAGCAGGCACCCGUCUGCUGAGCACCUGCCUCUGAGAUCUCCCUGA